GUGCUCGCUUCGGCAGCACAUCUACUAAAAUUGGAGCGAUACAGAGAAGAUUAGCAUGGCCCUGCACAAGGAUGACAUGCAAAUUAGUGAAGCGUUCCAUAAUUUA
Small nuclear RNA from Myotis lucifugus (little brown bat), 106 nucleotides. Lineage: Eukaryota; Metazoa; Chordata; Mammalia; Chiroptera; Vespertilionidae. The record is from Ensembl.